GCUCUCAAAGUGUAAUUAGUUCUGCACGCCGCUCUGCGAAGGCGGAAGUUCGUGGUGCAAAUCCACGUGAGAGCACCA
This 78-nucleotide transfer RNA is filed under the name Verrucomicrobiota bacterium. Its description in RNAcentral is "Verrucomicrobia bacterium tRNA-Arg". It matches the Rfam family "tRNA". From Rfam's summary of the family: Transfer RNA (tRNA) molecules are approximately 80 nucleotides in length. Their secondary structure includes four short double-helical elements and three loops (D, anti-codon, and T loops). Further hydrogen bonds mediate the characteristic L-shaped molecular structure. tRNAs have two regions of fundamental functional importance: the anti-codon, which is responsible for specific mRNA codon recognition, and the 3' end, to which the tRNAs corresponding amino acid is attached (by aminoacyl-tRNA synthetases). tRNAs cope with the degeneracy of the genetic code in two manners: having more than one tRNA (with a specific anti-codon) for a particular amino acid; and 'wobble' base-pairing, i.e. permitting non-standard base-pairing at the 3rd anti-codon position. The record is from RNAcentral. Lineage: Bacteria; Pseudomonadati; Verrucomicrobiota.